UGCAAAGCUCCAGUCAGACAAACUGAGGAAGUCCUAGAGAGCUACGACCAUACAGCGUAGGGCCUAUAAUUAAUAAUAUUGUAUCAUAUACUUUGCUAAAAGGGUAGACUCCACAGUUUGGAUCUUAACUGUCCCCCACAAGUUCUGGAAACUUAAGAAGGCAAGGUCUUGUGGGAGUUCUGGUCGUCGAGGAUCUGCCCUUGAAGGGGAUAGUUGACCCCUGACCCUUCCUCUUCUCUCUUCAUGUCCCAGCUGUGAGAUGAGCAGCAUUACUCUGACACACUUCUGCCAGGAUGUGCUUAUCACAUGUCUAAAAGCAAUAGGGCCAAUGCACCAUGGACUGACACCUCCAAACUCUGAGCCCAAAUAAACCUUUCUUUUUUAGAAGUUGACCUAUCUCAGCUAUUUGUCACAGUAAUGGGAAGCUGACAAAUCCAUAGAUCCUAUGUUAAGUGUUCUUAUUGUAAAAUAAUUAACAAUAAUGAUAAAGAGGGCAAGAAGAAAUUUUUGGAGGUGACAGACACAUUUAAGUUACUGACCG
This 541-nucleotide long non-coding RNA is filed under the name Marmota monax (woodchuck). Lineage: Eukaryota; Metazoa; Chordata; Mammalia; Rodentia; Sciuridae. The record is from RNAcentral.